This 73-nucleotide transfer RNA is filed under the name Candidatus Magasanikiibacteriota bacterium. RNAcentral's name for it is "tRNA-Asn". It matches the Rfam family "tRNA". From Rfam's summary of the family: Transfer RNA (tRNA) molecules are approximately 80 nucleotides in length. Lineage: Bacteria; Candidatus Magasanikiibacteriota. The record is from RNAcentral.
UCCUUGGUAGUUCAAUUGGUAGAACGCUCGGCUGUUAACCGAAAAGUUCCUGGUUCGAGUCCAGGCCAAGGAG